AGUGAACGCUGGCGGUAGGCCUAACACAUGCCAGUCAAACGGCAGCACAGUCAGAGCUUGCUCUUACGGGUGGCGAGUGGCGGACGGGUGAGGAAUACAUCGGAAUCUACUUUUUCGUGGGGGAUAACGUAGGGAAACUUACGCUAAUACCGCAUACGACCUACGGGUGAAAGCAGGGGAUCUUCGGACCUUGCGCGAUUGAAUGAGCCGAUGUCGGAUUAGCUAGUUGGCGGGGUAAAGGCCCACCAAGGCGACGAUCCGUAGCUGGUCUGAGAGGAUGAUCAGCCACACUGGAACUGAGACACGGUCCAGACUCCUACGGGAGGCAGCAGUGGGGAAUAUUUGACAAUGGGCGCAAGCCUGAUCCAGCCAUACCGCGUGGGUGAAGAAGGCCUUCGGGUUGUAAAGCCCUUUUGUUGGGAAAGAAAAGCAGCAGGUUAAUACCCCGCUGUUCUGACGGUACCCAAAGAAUAAGCACGGGCUAACUUCGUG
Molecule: ribosomal RNA, 492 nt
Filed under: uncultured bacterium
Lineage: Bacteria
Description: partial 16S ribosomal RNA
Rfam family: Bacterial small subunit ribosomal RNA
Source: RNAcentral